Molecule: non-coding RNA, 81 nt
Filed under: unclassified sequences
Source: RNAcentral
CUCCCUCCUAAUGACAGGCCGAAAGGCCGGGCGGCGUCCGCGCCGCAGCAGACAGGAUAUCACCGCGUCUGUGGGACCCAU